RNAcentral lists this ribosomal RNA (398 nucleotides) under uncultured bacterium. Its description in RNAcentral is "bacterial SSU rRNA". It matches the Rfam family "Bacterial small subunit ribosomal RNA", at positions 358 to 773 of the family's 1533-position model. The record is from RNAcentral.
GGAAUAUUGGACAAUGGGGGCAACCCUGAUCCAGCCAUGCCGCGUGCGUGAAGAAGGCCUUAGGGUCGUAAAGCUCUUUCGCCAGGGAUGAUAAUGACAGUCCCUGGUAAAGAAACCCCGGCUAACUCCGUGCCCGCAGCCGCGGUAAUACGGAGGGGGUUAGCGUUGUUCGGAAUUACUGGGCGUAAAGCGCACGUAGGCGGAUUAGAAAGUUGGGGGUGAAAUCCCAGGGCUCAACCCUGGAACUGCCUUCAAAACUACUAGUCUAGAGUUCGAGAGAGGUGAGUGGAAUUCCGAGUGUAGAGGUGAAAUUCGUAGAUAUUCGGAGGAACACCAGUGGCGAAGGCGGCUCACUGGCUCGAUACUGACGCUGAGGUGCGAAAGUGUGGGGAGCAAAC